GUCCCUAUGAGGAAGCAAUCCCUUUAGAUAGGAAGUGCCGUAUGACACUUUAUCAGCAGCGGAUCGCUCACGUACCCACGUUUUCCUUCCACCAAUCGCAACCCAUCAGAAGCGUUUCCUUUCCGGUAAUCGUUCUCUCUGGGUUUGCUGAUUGGUCGGGAUCGCGUGGACUACUAUGCUUCGCUGUGUGUGUGAUUUGGAACGGGUCUCUGAGGGUU
RNAcentral lists this small RNA (218 nucleotides) under Salix viminalis (osier). The stretch from base 2 to 66 matches the Rfam family "Small nucleolar RNA U49". The record is from RNAcentral. Lineage: Eukaryota; Viridiplantae; Streptophyta; Magnoliopsida; Malpighiales; Salicaceae.